RNAcentral lists this ribosomal RNA (502 nucleotides) under uncultured bacterium. Its description in RNAcentral is "bacterial SSU rRNA". It matches the Rfam family "Bacterial small subunit ribosomal RNA", at positions 9 to 526 of the family's 1533-position model. The record is from RNAcentral.
GAGUUUGAUCCUGGCUCAGGAUGAACGCUGGCGGCGUGCCUAACACAUGCAAGUCGAACGAGCGAGAGAGAGCUUGCUUUCUCAAGCGAGUGGCGAACGGGUGAGUAACGCGUGAGGAACCUGCCUCAAAGAGGGGGACAACAGUUAGAAAUGACUGCUAAUACCGCAUAAGACCACAGCACCGCAUGGUGCAGGGGUAAAAACUCCGGUGGUAUGAGAUGGACCCGCGUCUGAUUAGCUGGUUGGUGAGGUAACGGCUCACCAAGGCGACGAUCAGUAGCCGGCUUGAGAGAGUGAACGGCCACAUUGGGACUGAGACACGGCCCAAACUCCUACGGGAGGCAGCAGUGGGGAAUAUUGCACAAUGGGGGAAACCCUGAUGCAGCGACGCCGCGUGGAGGAAGAAGGUUUUCGGAUUGUAAACUCCUGUCGUUAGGGACGAUAAUGACGGUACCUAACAAGAAAGCACCGGCUAACUACGUGCCAGCCGCCGCGGUAAUUC